GACGAACGCUGGCGGCGUGCCUAAUACAUGCAAGUCGAACGAACUCUGGUAUUGAUUGGUGCUUGCAUCAUGAUUUACAUUUGAGUGAGUGGCGAACUGGUGAGUAACACGUGGGAAACCUGCCCAGAAGCGGGGGAUAACACCUGGAAACAGAUGCUAAUACCGCAUAACAACUUGGACCGCAUGGUCCGAGUUUGAAAGAUGGCUUCGGCUAUCACUUUUGGAUGGUCCCGCGGCGUAUUAGCUAGAUGGUGGGGUAACGGCUCACCAUGGCAAUGAUACGUAGCCGACCUGAGAGGGUAAUCGGCCACAUUGGGACUGAGACACGGCCCAAACUCCUACGGGAGGCAGCAGUAGGGAAUCUUCCACAAUGGACGAAAGUCUGAUGGAGCAACGCCGCGUGAGUGAAGAAGGGUUUCGGCUCGUAAAACUCUGUUGUUAAAGAAGAACAUAUCUGAGAGUAACUGUUCAGGUAUUGACGGUAUUUAACCUGAAAGCCACGGCUAACUACGUGCCAGCAGCCGCGGUAAUACGUAGGUGGCAAGCGUUGUCCGGAUUUAUUGGGCGUAAAGCGAGCGCAGGCGGUUUUUUAAGUCUGAUGUGAAAGCCUUCGGCUCAACCGAAGAAGUGCAUCGGAAACUGGGAAACUUGAGUGCAGAAGAGGACAGUGGAACUCCAUGUGUAGCGGUGAAAUGCGUAGAUAUAUGGAAGAACACCAGUGGCGAAGGCGGCUGUCUGGUCUGUAACUGACGCUGAGGCUCGAAAGUAUGGGUAGCGAACAGGAUUAGAUACCCUGGUAGUCCAUACCGUAAACGAUGAAUGCUAAGUGUUGGAGGGUUUCCGCCCUUCAGUGCUGCAGCUAACGCAUUAAGCAUUCCGCCUGGGGAGUACGGCCGCAAGGCUGAAACUCAAAGGAAUUGACGGGGGCCCGCACAAGCGGUGGAGCAUGUGGUUUAAUUCGAAGCUACGCGAAGAACCUUACCAGGUCUUGACAUACUAUGCAAAUCUAAGAGAUUAGACGUUCCCUUCGGGGACAUGGAUACAGGUGGUGCAUGGUUGUCGUCAGCUCGUGUCGUGAGAUGUUGGGUUAAGUCCCGCAACGAGCGCAACCCUUAUUAUCAGUUGCCAGCAUUAAGUUGGGCACUCUGGUGAGACUGCCGGUGACAAACCGGAGGAAGGUGGGGAUGACGUCAAAUCAUCAUGCCCCUUAUGACCUGGGCUACACACGUGCUGCAAUGGAUGGUACAACGAGUUGCGAACUCGCGAGAGUAAGCUAAUCUCUUAAAGCCAUUCUCAGUUCGGAUUGUAGGCUGCAACUCGCCUACAUGAAGUCGGAAUCGCUAGUAAUCGCGGAUCAGCAUGCCGCGGUGAAUACGUUCCCGGGCCUUGUACUCACCGCCCGUCAAGGGCGAAUUCCAGCA
This 1421-nucleotide ribosomal RNA is filed under the name uncultured organism. RNAcentral's name for it is "SSU rRNA". It matches the Rfam family "Bacterial small subunit ribosomal RNA". The record is from RNAcentral.